Molecule: long non-coding RNA, 436 nt
Filed under: Pongo abelii (Sumatran orangutan)
Lineage: Eukaryota; Metazoa; Chordata; Mammalia; Primates; Hominidae
Description: lincRNA
Source: RNAcentral
CUGUGCUGAGUUUUUCAAAGGCCAGAGCAGAUUGAACCUUUGUGAUUUCAUUUUCCCUGAUUUUGAUUUUUCUUAUGGGGAACCUGUGUUCCUGCAUUCGAGCCUCUGAGGAGUCUCUAGUUCACAAGGACAGAGGAGAUGGAGAGAGGCCGGUCAACGCGAGGGUGGUGCAGGCGGCCCCUCUGAGGUUUGGCUCUACUCCCUGUGGGGACGCUGUACAAGACAUCGCUAAUGCUUAAAGGGAUCUCCUGGGGUGAGUGAGGAGGUGGGAUCGGACCCUGGCAAUCUGACAACAACACCUGUGUUCCUUUGCACUGGGCCAUGGAUGACAUUACACACCUUUGUGAGAAUCAGGAAUUACACACCUUUGUGAGAAUCUGCAUCUGGAAUUGAGCUCGCUCAUUGGACAGGAUAGACUGGGCAUCCAGGCCUCAAG